This is a long non-coding RNA of Ruditapes philippinarum (Manila clam), 355 nucleotides long. RefSeq lists it as uncharacterized. The record is from RefSeq and is a predicted model, not a curated record. The transcript has 2 exons. Lineage: Eukaryota; Metazoa; Mollusca; Bivalvia; Venerida; Veneridae.
UAAUUAGAAUGGAUAUCAAAAAUCAGCUAUAUAGUAGCAGUCUGCAUUGUGUUCUCGGAUGAGCUGAAGAUAUGAUGGUUCAAACUUCCACUGCGUUGUUACUUCUUCUUUUGCUUGCUGGUGAAUCUGUUUCGGUAAAGCAAGAAAACACGAUGACAACACCUGCUGUAGAACAUUCUCUGAAGGACAUAAAUUCAUUUGGGAGACGUGACAUCAGUCGUGAGACUAUACGUCGUUUUGCAGGAUGGGGACGAAAAAGGUCAUUAUCUAGAGCGGAAUGGCGAGGAAGACACAUGUAAUAUUAAAGCUUAUGGAAAUAAUGACCUGAUUUAUCACAUUAAAACUUGGAAUUGAA